Molecule: ribosomal RNA, 301 nt
Filed under: uncultured bacterium
Lineage: Bacteria
Description: partial 16S ribosomal RNA
Rfam family: Bacterial small subunit ribosomal RNA
Source: RNAcentral
CAGUAGCCGCGGUAAUACGGAGGGAGCUAGCGUUGUUCGGAAUUACUGGGCGUAAAGCGCGCGUAGGCGGUUAUUUAAGUCAGGGGUGAAAGCCCGGUGCUCAACACCGGAACAGCCCUUGAGACUGGAUAACUUGAAUCCAGGAGAGGUGAGUGGAAUUCCGAGUGUAGAGGUGAAAUUCGUAGAUAUUCGGAAGAACACCAGUGGCGAAGGCGGCUCACUGGACUGGUAUUGACGCUGAGGUGCGAAAGCGUGGGGAGCAAACAGGAUUAGAUACCCCAGUAGUCCCUGUCUCUUAUAC